CUACGGGACGCAGCAGUGAGGAAUUUUGCGCAAUGGGGGAAACCCUGACGCAGCAACGCCGCGUGAGCGAAGAAGGCCUUCGGGUCGUAAAGCUCUGUCAAGUGGGAAAAAAAUUCUUUGAUGAACAGUCAAAGGACUUGAUGGUACCACUGGAGGAAGCACCGGCUAACUCCGUGCCAGCAGCCGCGGUAAUACGGAGGGUGCAAGCGUUGUUCGGAAUUACUGGGCGUAAAGAGCGUGUGGGCGGUUUGACAAGUCAGAUGUGAAAGCCCCGGGCUCAACCCGGGAAGUGCAUUUGAAACUGUUUCACUAGAGUAUGGGAGAGGAGAUUGGAAUUCCUGGUGUAGAGGUGAAAUUCGUAGAUAUCAGGAGGAACACCCGUGGCGAAGGCGAUUCUCUGGACCAAUACUGACGCUGAGACGCGAAAGCGUGGGGAGCAAACAGGAUUAGAUACCCUCGUAGUC
RNAcentral lists this ribosomal RNA (464 nucleotides) under uncultured bacterium. RNAcentral's name for it is "partial 16S ribosomal RNA". It matches the Rfam family "Bacterial small subunit ribosomal RNA", at positions 339 to 795 of the family's 1533-position model. The record is from RNAcentral.